This is a non-coding RNA of Saimiri boliviensis boliviensis (Bolivian squirrel monkey), 1326 nucleotides long. The record is from RefSeq and is a predicted model, not a curated record. NCBI's taxonomy places the organism in Eukaryota, Metazoa, Chordata, Mammalia, Primates, Cebidae.
CUCCGCGCCGCCGUCCUCCUUGCUAUUGGCUGGCCGCGGCGCCCGCUUCCUCUGAACUCUCCCGGGCGGGACACCGCGCGCCGCGGCCUCGCGCUCCUGCUUGGGUUUCCGGACCCCUCUGCCUGAAGGAUCUUCAGGGGUCCCCGGACUCCUCCGCCUGGGAGCCUCCAUGCGCCGCGCGCAGCCCCCGGCAGGUCCGAGGGGAGGCGUCAGCGGCGACCUGGUGGCGCCUCGCGGCCCUGCUCCCUGGGCUCAGCGCCGCCGCGGGCGUUUACAGCUUUUGUUUUGGGCAGAACCUAUGGGCCCAGAAAGCCGGAUCGAGGAGCGGUGGCUGAAGAACGAGCUGGAGCUUGAAUUUCGCUUUUCUUAUGAGGGAUUUUCCAGAAAAGAUAUCUUCACUGUGAAAUAAGUAAAUAAAUGCCCACUGAGUCCAGCAAAAAUACCUUCUAUAUGCUUCCUUCUGUAUGAAUACAUAAGACCUACCUUCAUUCAAAUUUCCUCUAUGAAGCUUUCUCUGAUCUUCAAACAGGGCUGAGACUUCCACCUAACUUAGAAAGCUAGCACGAGCUGGUACUGACAGAUGGGAAGACUUGAGAUGUUAUAAGAGGAUAUAUGAACACAAAAGUAGUGGAGUUGAUGGAUUACAUGGCAAUUCAUUUGAGGAACUGAGCUUUUUCCACGGAGGCUGAACUGCUUUAUAUUACCACAAACAAUGUAUAAGGUUCCAAUUUCUCUACAUCCUCACCAACACUUGCUAUUUUCCAUUUCCUUAAUUAUAGCCAUCCUAGUGUACAUGAAGUGGUACCUUAUUGUGGUUUUGAUUUGCAUUUCUCUAUUGACUAAUGAUCUUGAGCAUCUUUUCAUGUGUUUUUUGGUCAUUUGUACAUUUUUAUUUUAUUUUAAAAUUUUGAGAAAGGAUCUUGCUAUGUUGUCCAGGCUGGUCUCAAACUCCUGGGUUCGAGUGAUCCUAAGGCCCAGUCUCUCAAAGGGCUGGGAUUACAGUUGUGAGCCGUUGUGCCCACACCAUUUGUGUCUCUCCUUUGGAGAAUAUCUAGGUUCUUUCGAAGGUAGCUGCAUGGAAACUAGUCAAAUUAACCGACUGUGGCUUUUAGACUGCUUUCCAUAUUUGUAAGAACUAUUUAGUUCUCAAAAGUGGGAAGAAAUGUUCAAAGGCAUCAUUAAUUCAUAAUCUAAAAAUUUAUUUCAGGUUUCCUUUUUUCCCUAGAUUCUGUAUCCUUCCUAGUCCUAUUCAUGACAUGGCUCUUUCAUCUCUGUAUUCUAAACCUUCAACAGAUUGUAGACACUAAUAAAUAUUUAUUGGAUGAA